GGUCCAGCUAAAGAUUUCUACCAGCGCGAGUUUGACUUCUUCAACAAGAUCACCAAUGUCUCGGCCAUUAUAAAGCCGAUUCCUAAAGGUGACGAGCGCAAGAGAGCGUGUCUGCGAGCCCUGUCUGAUAUCAAAGUCCAGCCAGGCUGUUAUUUGCCCAGUAACCCUGAAGCUAUAGUGCUGGACAUUGAUUAUAAAUCAGGAACACCAAUGCAGAG
Long non-coding RNA from Sinocyclocheilus rhinocerous, 218 nucleotides. RefSeq lists it as uncharacterized. NCBI's taxonomy places the organism in Eukaryota, Metazoa, Chordata, Actinopteri, Cypriniformes, Cyprinidae. The record is from RefSeq and is a predicted model, not a curated record. The transcript is spliced from 3 exons.